GUUGACACGCAUGGUUUUCGGUAUGCGAAUCUCAUUGUCUCUGUUGGUUCGCGGGUUAAUUUACAUAGAUGACGAAAGAAAAUUAAAAGUUAUUAUUAGUUAAUUGGAUUGUCACAGGCAAAGCAGUUGACGAAUUUUAGUAACGGUGAUCUUUAUAUGGAUUAAACAUAAUUAGAACGAUAAAUUCAAGAUACACGUUCGUUUCGUCUAGAUCCAAUAUACUCAGGUGUUUAGUGUAAGUACGUGUUAGUGUAGUCUAAUAAUCCGUUUAAUAUAAUGACCCUAUUUUCGUUACCCGUCUAUCUAGAUUAGUGUUUUACAAUCUUUUUUUACUCAACGAUCCUUUUAGAUUU
Non-coding RNA from Cinara cedri, 353 nucleotides. NCBI's taxonomy places the organism in Eukaryota, Metazoa, Arthropoda, Insecta, Hemiptera, Aphididae. The record is from the annotation of a GenBank genome assembly.